This 639-nucleotide ribosomal RNA is filed under the name uncultured Ilumatobacter sp. Its description in RNAcentral is "bacterial SSU rRNA". It matches the Rfam family "Bacterial small subunit ribosomal RNA", at positions 232 to 885 of the family's 1533-position model. The record is from RNAcentral. Lineage: Bacteria; Bacillati; Actinomycetota; Acidimicrobiia; Acidimicrobiales; Ilumatobacteraceae.
CGCGGCCUAUCAGCUUGUUGGUGAGGUAACGGCUCACCAAGGCAUCGACGGGUAGCUGGUCUGAGAGGAUGAUCAGCCACACUGGGACUGAGACACGGCCCAGACUCCUACGGGAGGCAGCAGUGGGGAAUAUUGCACAAUGGGCGCAAGCCUGAUGCAGCAACGCCGCGUGCGGGAAGAAGGCCCUAGGGUUGUAAACCGCUUUCAGCAGGGAAGAAACUGACGGUACCUGCAGAAGAAGGUGCGGCCAACUACGUGCCAGCAGCCGCGGUGACACGUAGGCACCAAGCGUUGUCCGGAUUUAUUGGGCGUAAAGAGCUCGUAGGCGGUUCAGUAAGUCGGGUGUGAAAACUCUGGGCUCAACCCAGAGAGGCCACCCGAUACUGCUGUGACUUGAGUACGGUAGGGGAGCGGGGAAUUCCUGGUGUAGCGGUGAAAUGCGCAGAUAUCAGGAGGAACACCAGUGGCGAAGGCGCCGCUCUGGGCCGUAACUGACGCUGAGGAGCGAAAGCGUGGGUAGCAAACAGGAUUAGAUACCCUGGUAGUCCACGCCGUAAACGUUGGGCACUAGGUGUGGGUCUCAACCAACGAGAUCCGCGCCGUCGCUAACGCAUUAAGUGCCCCGCCUGGGGAGUACGG